GAACCAAAAUCUUUUAUCCAGGAUGAGGGCAUACAAACUGCAAGGGGCCUGGGUCGGGGAGGCAGAGAAGCGCCCGCCUCUUCCGACCUCUCAGGUGCGUGUGAGCCGAUGCUCCGCUAGGGGGCGCGGGAGAGCAGGCCGCCCCCCGCGUGACUCUCAGAGCCCGAGGGCUCCUUCCAGGUCCGCUGCCUUCUGCCCACAGGAAGGAGUCACUUUCCCAACUGGCGGGGAACGGGGGAGUCACUUUCCCAACUGGCGGGGAGCGGGGGAGUCACUUUCCCAACUGGCGGGGAGCGGGGGAGUCACUUUCCCAACUGGCGCGGGCGGGUUGGGAGGGGCCGCUGAGCCGCAUCUGCUGCAGUCACGAAGCUUUCUUAGCACCUCCUGGAGUUCAAGGAAAAUCCAGAAGCAGCUCUUUCCUUGAAGGAAGACGUUCACAGCAUCGCACCCACGAAGAGGGUGCGGCUUCCCCCUCUCACCCUUCUGGGUCUCGGCCGAUCGCCUGGCAGUUGGGCUCGUGGCCCAUCCUGCAGGAGGGCGCAGGCAUGCAUAGCGCCUGCGGAGGAGCGCUGCUCCUACGCCCCAGGCGCGGCCCCCGCAGGCCGGGCAGUGACCCCUGUGGCCCGGCCCUUAGGGCGUGCGAGUUGACCGUGCCCCUUCUCCAGGAUGCGCGGCCGGCGGCUGGGUUUUCGAACGCGCGGCUGUGAACGGCUCCUCGGCGAGGAGGCACAGCCUCCGCAGGCCAGAAGCCACGCGCCCACCAAAGGAAGUUAAUGCAGGAUGUGCUCCAGCGGAAUGUAAAGGUAUCCUACGAACAAGCAAGAGGAGGCACCCCACAAGCCUGGUAUUCCUGUUCUCCAAAGGACCCUACGAUGCACGGAUAACGUCUUCACUGCUUCCCAGCUGAGGGACUGCUGCCAAGUUCUCAACUUCUAUGUCCCUCCUCUCUUCACCUGCACCUGCCCUGUAGGGUAAUUAUAAGGCUUCAGCGAGCUACAUCCUGGAGGUGCUCCCUGAAUGUUACCUGUGAGGAGAAGCAGUGGAGCAGGGGAAUGCAGAGGAAGAAGAGAUGGGGUUGGAGCCAGGACUUCAUGCAGAAGUGAAGAGCCUGGUGCUCGGCAGAGGGAGUGGCCUGCUUUCGGUCACACAGGAGCGGUGGAUCCCGCAGCCCAAAUUUGUCUUGUAUCACUGAACUCCACAAUGGACAGCCAUUCAUUCCUUACAGAGCCUUAAGAGGGGUGAGUGCGAAUAGUAGCAUCUGAUUCCGAACUUCAGGGAGGCACCCCAUCGGAGGGAAGGGUCGUUUUCCAGAUGUCUGCCUCCCAAGGGGCGAUGUUUCA
Gorilla gorilla gorilla (western lowland gorilla) is the source of this 1340-nucleotide long non-coding RNA. RefSeq lists it as uncharacterized. The transcript is spliced from 5 exons. The record is from RefSeq and is a predicted model, not a curated record. Lineage: Eukaryota; Metazoa; Chordata; Mammalia; Primates; Hominidae.